CUUUGACGUUAGCGGCGGACGGGUGAGUAACACGUGGAUAACCUACCUAUAAGACUGGGAUAACUUCGGGAAACCGGAGCUAAUACCGGAUAACAUAUUGAACCGCAUGGUUCAAUAGUGAAAGGCGGCUUUGCUGUCACUUAUAGAUGGAUCCGCGCCGUAUUAGCUAGUUGGUAAGGUAACGGCUUACCAAGGCAACGAUACGUAGCCGACCUGAGAGGGUGAUCGGCCACACUGGAACUGAGACACGGUCCAUACUCCUACGGGAGGCAGCAGUAGGGAAUCUUCCGCAAUGGGCGAAAGCCUGACGGAGCAACGCCGCGUGAGUGAUGAAGGUCUUCGGAUCGUAAAACUCUGUUAUCAGGGAAGAACAAAUGUGUAAGUAACUGUGCACAUCUUGACGGUACCUGAUCAGAAAGCCACGGCUAACUACGUGCCAGCAGCCGCGGUAAUACGUAGGUGGCAAGCGUUAUCCAGAAUUAUUGGGCGU
Molecule: ribosomal RNA, 490 nt
Filed under: uncultured bacterium
Lineage: Bacteria
Description: bacterial SSU rRNA
Rfam family: Bacterial small subunit ribosomal RNA
Source: RNAcentral